Cucurbita pepo subsp. pepo (vegetable marrow) is the source of this 74-nucleotide non-coding RNA. Lineage: Eukaryota; Viridiplantae; Streptophyta; Magnoliopsida; Cucurbitales; Cucurbitaceae. The record is from the annotation of a RefSeq genome assembly.
GUCUGGGUGGUGUAGUUGGUUAUCACGCUAGUCUCACACACUAGAGGUCCCCAAUUCGAACCUGGGCUGAGUUC